GGGGUCGACCGGUAUCGAUGGGAGAUCCUUCCGCGCAGAGCAAGCCGAGGCGGUACCGGGCCUCGUAAAUCCCUGGUACAGAGAAGCCACUUGCCAAUCUCUUCUCGAAGGCCAAGAACCUGAUCGCUUCGGCGUUCACGGUUCCGACGCUUUCCUUGGUCACCGCCUAAUCGCGCUGACCCAUCCGCCGCCGUCGCGCCCGUAAGCGGCAUCGCGGGUGUCAUACUCCUCGGGCUUGGGACAAGAGGGCGACGCCGUCUCCUGUCCGACCCUGGCCUGCGUCACGCGAUGACGGGUUUCGUCCCGCUCAAACCGUCGUCGUGAACCCAGCGGGACUGAGCUUGGAUCCCUGUGACGGGAGGCCUUACCAGACGGGGGUUCGAUUCCCCCCGACUCCACCU
Molecule: transfer-messenger RNA, 401 nt
Filed under: Patescibacteria group
Lineage: Bacteria
Also listed under: 1 other name
Description: 2-01-FULL-63-20 sp001791045 Standard tmRNA
Rfam family: transfer-messenger RNA
About the family: Bacterial tmRNA, also known as 10Sa RNA or SsrA, is named for its dual tRNA and mRNA-like properties. Its role is to liberate the mRNA from a stalled ribosome. To accomplish this part of the tmRNA is used as a reading frame that ends in a translation stop signal.
Source: RNAcentral